Molecule: unclassified non-coding RNA, 189 nt
Filed under: uncultured Russula
Lineage: Eukaryota; Fungi; Basidiomycota; Agaricomycetes; Russulales; Russulaceae
Description: sequence contains ITS1
Source: RNAcentral
UCGUACCACGGAGGCGCUUGGGUUGUCGCUGACCUUUCUGAAAGGUCGUGCACGCCCGAGCGCUUUCAAUCCAUUUCACCCUUUGUGCAUCACCGCGCGGGGUCUCUUCCGAGAGGUUCAUGUUUUUCAUACAAACACGUUUAUAGUCAGUUUAGAAUGUCACUUAUUUGCGAUCACAUGCAAUCAAUA